This 395-nucleotide ribosomal RNA is filed under the name uncultured bacterium. Its description in RNAcentral is "bacterial SSU rRNA". It matches the Rfam family "Bacterial small subunit ribosomal RNA", at positions 29 to 423 of the family's 1533-position model. The record is from RNAcentral.
AUUGAACGCUAGCGGAAUGCCUUACACAUGCAAGUCGAACGGCAGCGCGGACUUCGGUCUGGCGGCGAGUGGCGAACGGGUGAGUAAUGUAUCGGAACGUGCCCAGUAGCGGGGGACAACCACUCGAAAGAGUGGCUAAUACCGCAUACGCCCUACGGGGGAAAGGGGGGGAUCGCAAGACCUCUCACUAUUGGAGCGGGCCGAUAUCGGAUUAGCUAGUUGGUGGGGUAAAGGCCUACCAAGGCGACGAUCCGUAGCUGGUUUGAGAGGACGACCAGCCACACUGGGACUGAGACACGGCCCAGGCUCCUACGGGAGGCAGCAGUGGGGAAUUUUGGACAAUGGGGGAAACCCUGGGUCCAGCCAUUCCGCGUGUGCGAUGAAGGCCUUCGGUU